This is a non-coding RNA of Arachis ipaensis, 906 nucleotides long. The record is from RefSeq and is a predicted model, not a curated record. NCBI's taxonomy places the organism in Eukaryota, Viridiplantae, Streptophyta, Magnoliopsida, Fabales, Fabaceae.
AUAACCACCAUUUUCUUCUUCACACCCAUCUCUCCUCCGCCUCUCAUAUCUAUCCUUAUCCUUAUUCCUACCCCUAUCGUUCUCUCUAUCCCUUCCCCUUCUCCUAGAAUUCCCUUUUUCAUCAUCAUAAUCAUCAUUAUCUCUAUCUCUAUUCCUAUCUCUAUGCCUUUCAUCUCUAUCAUAUUUAUCAUACAUGUCCCUUCUAUCUCUUCUAUCCCUUCUAUCUCUGUCUCUUCCUCUGUGCCCAUCUUCACUGUGUAUUUCUCUGUCUCUAUCACCACUAUGUUUCUCUUUGGCUUCAGCUUCAAUCUCCUUCUGCAGCUCCUUAACCUUAUCCCUAUCAUCUGCAAUAGCCAGUGCCUUGAACACCCCCUUCGAACCACCACCGUCCUGCUUCGAACCCUUGACGUCGCUGUUCCCAGAACCCUUCUUCGGAGGGAGAAUAGCGUGGAUUAUCGUGAGAAGUGUACGGACAAAUUGGGAAGCUUGUGGAGUUCUCCACCGCCAUGGCUCUAAUGAAGAAUCGAAGCACGAAUGACGAAUUGGAAAUUAUCAUGGAUUCAUGGAGUUACCUGAGGUUUAGUUGCUGCUCCCCAACUCACCAGAAACGACUAUGAUUUGGGAAAAAUGUGGUUGUUAGGGUUUUUUUUAAAUGAUUGGGGAUUAAAUUGAUGCAUACAAGAAUUUCGCCACGUCACACAACUGUUGAGGCUGUCAGGUGUCAACUACAUGUGCCACGUCAGUUUUCCGGUGACGAAAAUAGACGAAAGGGCCAACUUGAGUUACGUCUUAAAAUUUCAGGGUACAAUUUGAGUCAAUUGGUAAUUCAAUGGCUAAAUUGAGUUGGAGGUCAAAUUUUAAGGGUCAUUUUGAGUAUUAACUCGUUGGGAUUUAUCAAUUUUUAAG